GUGAACAGUUGGUGAAGACGCGGCUCCUCGCAGCCGGUGAGUCCCUGGACACCGGCUCAGGAUCCUAGGACCCUGCAGGCACGUUUUCACGACGCCCCUUGAUCCUGGACUCCUGGGCACUCAGUAAUGAGUCUCUCCCCUCAGAACCUGGGCCCGCAGCUGCAGGGUCUUGAGGUUGUUGGAUCGCUAGAUUUUGUGGUCACAAAGUCGACAGAUCCCGGGGUCACUGAAUCGGGAUCAGUCCUUAAGUCCCUGGACCCCGGGAUUAAUGAAACCUCCAGUCAUUCGGCCCUAGGCCCUCUCUGAUACUGGGUCACCACAGUCCCUAGACCCUGGGGUUUCUGAAUUCCCCUGGCCACUUAUACAUUUGACUCCUUUCGUGGCUAAAUCUCGUGGUCACUGGGUCAUCGGGCAGGAGAGGGCAGCAGGGAGCUGUAGCGUUGAGAAUAAUGGCAGCUUCUCACCAGAAAGUCCCAAAGCUGUCUUAGGAAACCAGAGUCAAAGGAGACCAAGGGGCUGUGGGAA
Molecule: long non-coding RNA, 525 nt
Filed under: Homo sapiens (human)
Lineage: Eukaryota; Metazoa; Chordata; Mammalia; Primates; Hominidae
Description: non-protein coding lnc-YDJC-2:2
Source: RNAcentral